GAAAUGACUGGCCUGUGGGCCAACAUCAGUUUCUCCUAAGAAUGCCAGCUUGAUAUCUUCUAAGCAAUAUUUGGUUAACUUGUACUGGACUCUGGACCAUAUCAUGGACUGGCAGAAAGUGGAACUUUGGUUAAGAUGUGAAAGAAGCCAGGCAAGCUAGGAUCUUGUUCAUAAC
This is a long non-coding RNA of Trichosurus vulpecula (common brushtail), 175 nucleotides long. RefSeq lists it as uncharacterized. NCBI's taxonomy places the organism in Eukaryota, Metazoa, Chordata, Mammalia, Diprotodontia, Phalangeridae. The transcript is spliced from 2 exons. The record is from RefSeq and is a predicted model, not a curated record.